Molecule: long non-coding RNA, 874 nt
Organism: Acanthopagrus latus (yellowfin seabream)
Lineage: Eukaryota; Metazoa; Chordata; Actinopteri; Spariformes; Sparidae
Exons: 4
Source: RefSeq, a predicted model, not a curated record
UGCUGCUGAGGUCACAGCAGGGAACUGAUGAGCUGACCUCUGACCCUCAGGAACACUUUAACUGUGACACUCAAUAUUCACACCAUGCAGAAAAUUAAACAGAGUGUUUUCCCGCUAAAACCAGGUGAGGCCGAGCUGUCAGAGCCUACAGGAGAUUAACGGAGACCUUCCGGUCACCCCCGCUGGAACAAUGAGGGGCCGUGAUAUCUGUCGGCCCUGGAGACCAGGAUCCAUUCAGACCAGGAUCCAUUCAGACCAGGAUCCAUUCAAGCCAAACAAAGGGCUCCGACACACCGAGCAGCCGCAGACACACCGCCGGGUUCAGGCCGCCUGCUGCCCGGCUGCCUGUCACACACCUGCGGCCCGGCUCGUCUUUCAUCCCGCAGAGGGACCCGGACCGGGACGUUGAACCCGGGUCUGCUGCAGAACCUCGAUGGCAGGACGUUUUAACAUUUAAUGGAACCACACUCCUCUCUGUGAAGUGUCUCACCUGGAUCAGUCUCUCACCUUUGACAGUCGAAGUAGUAAAACAUGACACCUUCCAGUCGGCACUGAGGGAACACAACCCUGCUGCCGCUGUGUAAACAGUCAGUGUGCAGAUCUCCACAUGAAACAUCUGCUGCAGUAAAACAGCAGAAACGUUCUGCAUUUUGCAGCCGAGUGUGAAGCAGCUGGGAUGAGAAUCAGAACCUCCGAGUCUGAGGCCAGGAAGAGGGAAGUCUGGGAGUCCCAGCUCAGACAGCUGCCCCCGCAACCCGGCCCUGGAUAACACGGAGGAAGAUGGAUGGAUGGAUGGAUGGAUGAAUGGAUGAUGGAUGGAUGGAUAGGAUGAUGGAUGGAUGAUGAAUGGAUGAUGGAUGGAUGGAUGGAUGGA